Molecule: ribosomal RNA, 207 nt
Filed under: uncultured bacterium
Lineage: Bacteria
Description: partial 16S ribosomal RNA
Rfam family: Bacterial small subunit ribosomal RNA
Source: RNAcentral
CGUGUAGGCGGCUUUGCAAGUCGGGUGUGAAAGCCCUCAGCUUAACUGAGGAAGUGCGCCCGAAACUGCAGAGCUUGAGUACCGGAGAGGAUGGCGGAAUUCCCCAAGUAGAGGUGAAAUUCGUAGAUAUGGGGAGGAACACCGGUGGCGAAGGCGGCCAUCUGGACGGAUACUGACGCUGAGACGCGAAAGCGUGGGGAGCAAACA